Molecule: ribosomal RNA, 453 nt
Filed under: uncultured Porphyromonadaceae bacterium
Lineage: Bacteria; Pseudomonadati; Bacteroidota; Bacteroidia; Bacteroidales; Porphyromonadaceae
Description: partial 16S ribosomal RNA
Rfam family: Bacterial small subunit ribosomal RNA
Source: RNAcentral
ACGGAAGGCAGCAGUGAGGAAUAUUGGUCAAUGGGCGGAAGCCUGAACCAGCCAAGUCGCGUGAAGGAUGAAGGUAUUAUGUAUUGUAAACUUCUUUAGACGUAGAGAAAUAAGUGCCUCGUGAGGCAUGGUGCUAGUAUACGUAGAAUAAGGAUCGGCUAACUCCGUGCCAGCAGCCGCGGUAAUACGGAGGAUCCGAGCGUUAUCCGGAUUUAUUGGGUUUAAAGGGUGCGCAGGCGGCCCUGUAAGUCAGCGGUUAAAUCGUGGAGCUCAACUCCAUCCCGCCGUUGAUACUGCAGGGCUUGAUUGCGGUCGAGGUUGGCGGAAUUCGCCGUGUAGCGGUGAAAUGCAUAGAUAUGGCGAAGAACUCCGAUUGCGUAGGCAGCUGACCAGGCCGUAAAUGACGCUCAUGCACGAAAGUGCGGGGAUCGAACAGGAUUAGAUACCCUGGUA